This 274-nucleotide ribosomal RNA is filed under the name uncultured bacterium. RNAcentral describes it as "partial 16S ribosomal RNA". It matches the Rfam family "Bacterial small subunit ribosomal RNA", at positions 28 to 334 of the family's 1533-position model. The record is from RNAcentral.
GAUGAACGCUGGCGGCGUGGAUAAGGCAUGCAAGUCGAGUGGGUUUAGACCCACGGCAGACGAGGUAGGAACACGUAGGUAUCUACCCUCAAGUCGAAAAUAACCCAUCGAAAGGUGGAAUAAUAUUCGAUAGUCCCUCCGGGGUAAAGUUUUAACGCUUGAGGAAGAGCCUGCGGGUUAUCAGCUUGUUGGUAGGGUAAAAGCCUACCAAGGCUACGACGACUAGGGGAGCUGAGAGGCUGACCCCCACCGAUGGAACUGAGACACGGUCCAU